UACAGACGGUCCAAACGUUAUUCGGAAUCACUGGGCUUAAAGAGUUCGUAGGCGGUCAGGAAAGUGGGGUGUGAAAGCCCUCGGCUCAACCGAGGAAUUGCGCUCCAAACUCCCUGACUUGAGGAGGCUAGAGGUAAGCGGAACUGAUGGUGGAGCGGUGAAAUGCGUUGAUAUCAUCAGGAACACCGGAGGCGAAGGCGGCUUACUGGGGCCUUUCUGACGCUGAGGAACGAAAGCUAGGGGAGCGAACGGG
Molecule: ribosomal RNA, 253 nt
Filed under: uncultured Pirellula sp.
Lineage: Bacteria; Pseudomonadati; Planctomycetota; Planctomycetia; Pirellulales; Pirellulaceae
Description: partial 16S ribosomal RNA
Rfam family: Bacterial small subunit ribosomal RNA
Source: RNAcentral